Molecule: ribosomal RNA, 1377 nt
Filed under: uncultured bacterium
Lineage: Bacteria
Description: bacterial SSU rRNA
Rfam family: Bacterial small subunit ribosomal RNA
Source: RNAcentral
GAAUUCGCCCUUAGAGUUUGAUCCUGGCUCAGGAUGAACGCUGGCGGCGCGCCUAACACAUGCAAGUCGAACGGCACCCCUCUCCGGAGGGAAGCGAGUGGCGAACGGCUGAGUAACACGUGGAGAACCUGCCCCCUCCCCCGGGAUAGCCGCCCGAAAGGACGGGUAAUACCGGAUACCCCGGGGUGCCGCAUGGCACCCCGGCUAAAGCCCCGACGGGAGGGGAUGGCUCCGCGGCCCAUCAGGUAGACGGCGGGGUGACGGCCCACCGUGCCGACAACGGGUAGCCGGGUUGAGAGACCGACCGGCCAGAUUGGGACUGAGACACGGCCCAGACUCCUACGGGAGGCAGCAGUGGGGAAUCUUGCGCAAUGGGGGGAACCCUGACGCAGCGACGCCGCGUGCGGGACGGAGGCCUUCGGGUCGUAAACCGCUUUCAGCAGGGAAGAGUCAAGACUGUACCUGCAGAAGAAGCCCCGGCUAACUACGUGCCAGCAGCCGCGGUAAUACGUAGGGGGCGAGCGUUAUCCGGAUUCAUUGGGCGUAAAGCGCGCGUAGGCGGCCCGGCAGGCCGGGGGUCGAAGCGGGGGGCUCAACCCCCCGAAGCCCCCGGAACCUCCGCGGCUUGGGUCCGGUAGGGGAGGGUGGAACACCCGGUGUAGCGGUGGAAUGCGCAGAUAUCGGGAGGAACACCAGUGGCGAAGGCGGUCUACUGGGCACCAACUGACGCUGAGGCUCGAAAGCAUGGGUAGCAAACAGGAUUAGAUACCCUGGUAGUCCAUGCCGUAAACGAUGAUUACUAGGUGUUGGGGGAUUGACCCCCUCAGUGCCGCAGUUAACACAAUAAGUAAUCCACCUGGGGAGUACGACCGCAAGGUUGAAACUCAAAGGAAUUGACGGGGGCCCGCACAAGCAGUGGAGUAUGUGGUUUAAUUCGAAGCAACGCGAAGAACCUUACCAGGUCUUGACAUCCGAUGCAUAGCAUAGAGAUGUGUGAAAUCCUUCGGGACAUCGAGACAGGUGGUGCAUGGUUGUCGUCAGCUCGUGUCGUGAGAUGUUGGGUUAAGUCCCGCAACGAGCGCAACCCUUAUUGCCAGUUACUACGUUAAGAGGACUCUGGCGAGACUGCCGUUGACAAAACGGAGGAAGGUGGGGAUGACGUCAAAUCAUCAUGCCCUUUAUGACCUGGGCUACACACGUACUACAAUGGCGUUAAACAAAGAGAAGCAAGACCGCGAGGUGGAGCAAAACUCAAAAACAACGUCUCAGUUCAGAUUGCAGGCUGCAACUCGCCUGCAUGAAGUCGGAAUUGCUAGUAAUCGCGGAUCAGCAUGCCGCGGUGAAUACGUUCCCGGGCCUUGCACACACCGCCCGUCA